GAUUGCCUCAGUAGCGGCGAGUGAAGCGGCAAAAGCUCAAAUUUGAAAUCUGGCGUCUUUGGCGUCCGAGUUGUAAUUUGAAGAAGGUAUCUUUGGGCCCGGCUCUUGUCUAUGUUCCUUGGAACAGGACGUCACAGAGGGUGAGAAUCCCGUGCGAUGAGAUGACCCGGGUCUGUGUAAAGUUCCUUCGACGAGUCGAGUUGUUUGGGAAUGCAGCUCUAAGUGGGUGGUAAAUUCCAUCUAAAGCUAAAUAUUGGCGAGAGACCGAUAGCGAACAAGUACAGUGAUGGAAAGAUGAAAAGAACUUUGAAAAGAGAGUGAAAAAGUACGUGAAAUUGUUGAAAGGGAAGGGCUUGAGAUCAGACUUGGUAUUUUGCAUGUUGCUCUCUCGGGGGCGGCCGCUGCGGUUUACCGGGCCAGCAUCGGUUUGGAGCGGCAGGAUAAUGGCGGAGGAAUGUGGCACGGCUUCUGCUGUGUGUUAUAGCCUCUGACGAUACUGCCAGCCUAGACCGAGGACUGCGGUUUUUACCUAGGAUGUUGGCAUAAUGAUCUUAAGUCGCCCGUCUUGAAACACGGACCAAGGAGUCUAACGUCUAUGCGAGUGUUUGGGUGUAAAACCCGUACGCGUAAUGAAAGUGAACGAAGGUGGGGGCCCAUUAGGGUGCACCAUCGACCGAUCCUGAUGUGUUCGGAUGGAUUUGAGUAAGAGCAUAGCUGUUGGGACCCGAAAGAUGGUGAACUAUGCCUGAAUAGGGUGAAGCCAGAGGAAACUCUGGUGGAGGCUCGUAGCGGUUCUGACGUGCAAAUCGAUCGUCGAAUUUGG
This 823-nucleotide ribosomal RNA is filed under the name Candida albicans. Its description in RNAcentral is "partial large subunit ribosomal RNA". It matches the Rfam family "Eukaryotic large subunit ribosomal RNA", at positions 73 to 914 of the family's 3401-position model. The record is from RNAcentral. Lineage: Eukaryota; Fungi; Ascomycota; Pichiomycetes; Serinales; Debaryomycetaceae.